This 468-nucleotide ribosomal RNA is filed under the name uncultured bacterium. Its description in RNAcentral is "partial 16S ribosomal RNA". It matches the Rfam family "Bacterial small subunit ribosomal RNA", at positions 28 to 507 of the family's 1533-position model. The record is from RNAcentral.
GAUGAACGCUGGCGGCGUGCUUAACACAUGCAAGUCGAACGGAAAGGCCCAAGCUUGCUUGGGUACUCGAGUGGCGAACGGGUGAGUAACACGUGGGUGAUCUGCCCUGCACUUCGGGAUAAGCCUGGGAAACUGGGUCUAAUACCGGAUAGGACGAUGGUUUGGAUGCCAUUGUGGAAAGUUUUUUCGGUGUGGGAUGAGCUCGCGGCCUAUCAGCUUGUUGGUGGGGUAAUGGCCUACCAAGGCGUCGACGGGUAGCCGGCCUGAGAGGGUGUACGGCCACAUUGGGACUGAGAUACGGCCCAGACUCCUACGGGAGGCAGGAGUGGGGAAUAUUGCACAAUGGGGGCAAGCCUGAUGCAGCGACGCCGCGUGGGGGAUGACGGCCUUCGGGUUGUAAACUCCUUUCGCUAGGGACGAAGCGUUUUUGUGACGGUACCUGGAGAAGAAGCACCGGCUAACUACGUG